GCCCGGGUGGUGGAAUUGGUAGACACGCAGGACUUAAAAUCCUGUUCUAGCAAUAGAGUGCGGGUUCGAUUCCCGCCCCGGGCACCA
Molecule: transfer RNA, 87 nt
Filed under: Candidatus Peregrinibacteria bacterium HGW-Peregrinibacteria-1
Lineage: Bacteria; Candidatus Peregrinibacteriota
Description: tRNA-Leu
Rfam family: tRNA
About the family: Transfer RNA (tRNA) molecules are approximately 80 nucleotides in length.
Source: RNAcentral